UAACCUGCCUUGGAUGGGGAAGUAACAGUUGGAAACAGCUGCUAAUACCGCAUGAUGCAGUUGAGUCGCAUGGCUCUGACUGCCAAAGAUUUAUCGCUCUGAGAUGGACUCGCGUCUGAUUAGCUAGUUGGCGGGGUAACGGCCCACCAAGGCGACGAUCAGUAGCCGGACUGAGAGGUUGGCCGGCCACAUUGGGACUGAGACACGGCCCAGACUCCUACGGAAGGCAGCAG
This 233-nucleotide ribosomal RNA is filed under the name uncultured bacterium. Its description in RNAcentral is "partial 16S ribosomal RNA". It matches the Rfam family "Bacterial small subunit ribosomal RNA", at positions 122 to 354 of the family's 1533-position model. The record is from RNAcentral.